RNAcentral lists this ribosomal RNA (499 nucleotides) under uncultured bacterium. Its description in RNAcentral is "bacterial SSU rRNA". It matches the Rfam family "Bacterial small subunit ribosomal RNA", at positions 899 to 1397 of the family's 1533-position model. The record is from RNAcentral.
ACUCAAAGGAAUAGACGGGGGCCCGCACAAGCGGCGGAGCAUGCGGAUUAAUUCGAUGCAACGCGAAGAACCUUACCUAGGUUUGACAUAUACGAGAAGCCUCUAGAGAUAGAGGUCUCUUUGGACACUCGUAUACAGGUGGUGCAUGGCUGUCGUCAGCUCGUGUCGUGAGAUGUUGGGUUAAGUCCCGCAACGAGCGCAACCCUCGUCUUAUGUUGCCAGCACGUAAUGGUGGGGACUCAUAAGAGACUGCCGGGGUCAACUCGGAGGAAGGUGGGGAUGACGUCAAGUCAUCAUGCCCCUUAUGCCUAGGGCUUCACGCAUGCUACAAUGGCCGGUACAAAGGGCUGCGAUACCGCAAGGUGGAGCGAAUCCCAAAAAGCCGGUCUCAGUUCGGAUUGGGGUCUGCAACUCGACCCCAUGAAGUCGGAGUCGCUAGUAAUCGCAGAUCAGCAACGCUGCGGUGAAUACGUUCCCGGGCCUUGUACACACCGCCCGU